Molecule: ribosomal RNA, 1667 nt
Filed under: Escherichia coli
Lineage: Bacteria; Pseudomonadati; Pseudomonadota; Gammaproteobacteria; Enterobacterales; Enterobacteriaceae
Description: partial 23S ribosomal RNA
Rfam family: Bacterial large subunit ribosomal RNA
Source: RNAcentral
GAAUGCUGACAUAAGUAACGAUAAAGCGGGUGAAAAGCCCGCUCGCCGGAAGACCAAGGGUUCCUGUCCAACGUUAAUCGGGGCAGGGUGAGUCGACCCCUAAGGCGAGGCCGAAAGGCGUAGUCGAUGGGAAACAGGUUAAUAUUCCUGUACUUGGUGUUACUGCGAAGGGGGGACGGAGAAGGCUAUGUUGGCCGGGCGACGGUUGUCCCGGUUUAAGCGUGUAGGCUGGUUUUCCAGGCAAAUCCGGAAAACCAAGGCUGAGGCGUGAUGACGAGGCACUACGGUGCUGAAGCAACAAAUGCCCUGCUUCCAGGAAAAGCCUCUAAGCAUCAGGUAACAUCAAAUCGUACCCCAAACCGACACAGGUGGUCAGGUAGAGAAUACCAAGGCGCUUGAGAGAACUCGGGUGAAGGAACUAGGCAAAAUGGUGCCGUAACUUCGGGAGAAGGCACGCUGAUAUGUAGGUGAAGCGACUAGCUCGUGGAGCUGAAAUCAGUCGAAGAUACCAGCUGGCUGCAACUGUUUAUUAAAAACACAGCACUGUGCAAACACGAAAGUGGACGUAUACGGUGUGACGCCUGCCCGGUGCCGGAAGGUUAAUUGAUGGGGUUAGCGGCAACGCGAAGCUCUUGAUCGAAGCCCCGGUAAACGGCGGCCGUAACUAUAACGGUCCUAAGGUAGCGAAAUUCCUUGUCGGGUAAGUUCCGACCUGCACGAAUGGCGUAAUGAUGGCCAGGCUGUCUCCACCCGAGACUCAGUGAAAUUGAACUCGCUGUGAAGAUGCAGUGUACCCGCGGCAAGACGGAAAGACCCCGUGAACCUUUACUAUAGCUUGACACUGAACAUUGAGCCUUGAUGUGUAGGAUAGGUGGGAGGCUUUGAAGUGUGGACGCCAGUCUGCAUGGAGCCGACCUUGAAAUACCACCCUUUAAUGUUUGAUGUUCUAACGUUGGCCCGUAAUCCGGGUUGCGGACAGUGUCUGGUGGGUAGUUUGACUGGGGCGGUCUCCUCCUAAAGAGUAACGGAGGAGCACGAAGGUUGGCUAAUCCUGGUCGGACAUCAGGAGGUUAGUGCAAUGGCAUAAGCCAGCUUGACUGCGAGCGUGACGGCGCGAGCAGGUGCGAAAGCAGGUCAUAGUGAUCCGGUGGUUCUGAAUGGAAGGGCCAUCGCUCAACGGAUAAAAGGUACUCCGGGGAUAACAGGCUGAUACCGCCCAAGAGUUCAUAUCGACGGCGGUGUUUGGCACCUCGAUGUCGGCUCAUCACAUCCUGGGGCUGAAGUAGGUCCCAAGGGUAUGGCUGUUCGCCAUUUAAAGUGGUACGCGAGCUGGGUUUAGAACGUCGUGAGACAGUUCGGUCCCUAUCUGCCGUGGGCGCUGGAGAACUGAGGGGGGCUGCUCCUAGUACGAGAGGACCGGAGUGGACGCAUCACUGGUGUUCGGGUUGUCAUGCCAAUGGCACUGCCCGGUAGCUAAAUGCGGAAGAGAUAAGUGCUGAAAGCAUCUAAGCACGAAACUUGCCCCGAGAUGAGUUCUCCCUGAGACUUAGAGUCUCCUGAAGGAACGUUGAAGACGACGACGUUGAUAGGCCGGGUGUGUAAGCGCAGCGAUGCGUUGAGCUAACCGGUACUAAUGAACCGUGAGGCUUAACCUUACAACGCCGAAG